CGAAACCAACUCAACACCCUGGCGAGCCAGAGAGCAAUCUGACCUAUGUCACUGUAAACCAUGCUAAUCAGCAGGCCUCUUCUUACAAAAAGGUCAAAAAGGAGGAGGUGACGUAUUCUACAGUCAGAAGUCAGAAGACAGAAGCAGACGAGGAUCCCAGCAGUCUCUACAGCAAUGUCAGAAACCCAAAAUAAAUCAGAGGAAAUGGGACUUCUCACAAUGACCUGUUCAUAGAUCCUGCCGUCAGAGUGUUUUCUGUCUGUUGAGGAGUGGACAGUUGGAUUUGUGCUUUGUUUUUUUUCUAGUUUUGUGUUGUACUGGCUUUGCUGAGCACCUGGUAAGGACGCCCCCCCGGGCGCCUGCCUAGGGAGGUUUUUCCAGGUUCGUCCAGCUGGUAAUAGGCCUCAGGAAGACCCAGGACUAGGUGGAGAGAUUAGAUGUCCACUCUGGCCUGGGAACACCUCGGGAUCCCCCAGUGUCCUGAUGUCCCAGACCUGAUAAACAGAUGGAUGGAUGGAUGGAUGGAUGGAUGGAUGGCUUUGCUUAGCAUUAAGAUAACUGUUGUAUUAUACAGCACACUGUUGGUCCUACUUGGUGUUCUAUUACUUAGCUGGUUUAUGACUUUUAAAAACAAAACCCAUUAAACAGAAUUGUCAGCUUGGUUGUUCCUUAUCACAAAUAUAUGUUUUUAUUGCUAUGGAUUGCAAUUUUAUCGCUAC
Long non-coding RNA from Perca fluviatilis (European perch), 719 nucleotides. RefSeq lists it as uncharacterized. Lineage: Eukaryota; Metazoa; Chordata; Actinopteri; Perciformes; Percidae. The transcript is spliced from 3 exons. The record is from RefSeq and is a predicted model, not a curated record.